GGGGAGCAAAAUGGACGUAAGGCGACCCCCAGGCAGGGGAGCAGGGCGCCUCGGAAACCCCGGGAGUCCCUUCUCUUUCCGGGGCAACGCGCUGCCAGUCUGUGGGGACUAGCUGGAGCUGAAGGCGGGGAGACCCGGCCAGCGCUGCCCCCCGGGGGCCUCGGCGCCGGGCGCAGCCAGCCAGCGCAGCGUAGCGCAGCGCAGCGGGCUCCAUUCCCGGCCGCCGCCGCUCAGCUCAUUGCGCAAACCCGCGGGUCCUCCCCUCCCGGCUCGGCCGCCGCUGCCGAAAGCCCGGAGGCGGGCUGGGACGCUCCGGGCAUCCACAAGGGGCUGAAAAGACCACGCACGGCCCCUCCGGCUAGACCCCGGCUCGGGCCACGGUGGUUCUGCCCCCAGAGCUGGUGGCCGCCCCAGACUGGGGGGGAGGGGGAGGGGGGAGCGGGGAGGGGGGGAGGGGAGUAGGGGAGAGGCUGGCGCCCCCUCCCCCUUUUGGCUCCCGCUCCCGCUGCAGCAGCUGUUGCCAAAUGAACCCCGGAACGGGGACGUGCAACCCACCCCCAGCCCGAGCCACACACGUCGCGGUCAGAAAACUGGGAAGGGGGGCGGCGGGCGGGCAAGGGAAGCUGGCUCUGGGUCGGAGCCUCCGGAAAGGCGAGAACUCACCUGCAAACAGGCAGUCCUUCUCGGCUCUGGACUUCUGGAUCACGACGUCGAUAUCCUUCUGAAUUCGCUCUUGCCUUGAACACAUCCCCAUUAAAUAAAUCCCUGGAAAAGAAGCAGCCGCACCCGGGCCUAUGAAAUCAGCGCCCCGGCGGCCACCCGAACCCGGCGGAAAUCCGGAGGGAGAGCGGCCCGAGCGUUCCCGGCCGACAGGCCCCCACACGCCCGAGGAGGCCGGGCCGGGAACUGCACCACGGAAGUGGAACCGCCUGCCGCACGUCUGGAAGUUCCCGAAAGGACUAAACCACUUCUCGGGACCCCGCGCACAGUGCUUCCCGAGACAACAAACCACCUGAAGGUUUGUCCGGCGAGGCGCAGGAGUGGCCCCGUAAAGGACGGGCUGCCCGAGAGCGGGGGCCCACGCGGCCUGUCCACGUACACCCCCCCCCCAUCCCCGGGCUCCGCACCCCGGCCCCUCCCAGGCUCCCUGGGCCGCACCCGCGCUCNAAGGGAAGCUGGCUCUGGGUCGGAGCCUCCGGAAAGGCGAGAACUCACCUGCAAACAGGCAGUCCUUCUCGGCUCUGGACUUCUGGAUCACGACGUCGAUAUCCUUCUGAAUUCGCUCUUGCCUUGAACACAUCCCCAUUAAAUAAAUCCCUGGAAAA
This 1325-nucleotide long non-coding RNA is filed under the name Lynx pardinus (Iberian lynx). The record is from RNAcentral. Lineage: Eukaryota; Metazoa; Chordata; Mammalia; Carnivora; Felidae.